GACGUAGGGCGCGAGCGUUGUCCGGAUUUAUUGGGCGUAAAGAGCUCGUAGGCGGCUUGUCGCGUCGACUGUGAAAACCCGUGGCUCAACCAUGUGGUCUGCAGUCGAUACGGGCAGGCUAGAAUUCGGUAGGGGAGACUGGAAUUCCUGGUGUAGCGGUGAAAUGCGCAGAUAUCAGGAGGAACACCAGUGGCGAAGGCGGCGAUCUGGGAAGAUACUGACGCUGAGGUGCGAAAGCGUGGGGAGCAAACAGG
Molecule: ribosomal RNA, 254 nt
Filed under: uncultured bacterium
Lineage: Bacteria
Description: partial 16S ribosomal RNA
Rfam family: Bacterial small subunit ribosomal RNA
Source: RNAcentral